GGGGGGUUCCCCCCUUCUGAUCUUUUUUGGGGAGGCACUUUGGGGUACCGACUGUUCCCCACCAUGGCUGGGGGGGGCCCUGAGCCCCAGAAUGAUCCCCUGGGAGGGGGGUUGGAGGAGGUGUCCCCGUGGGCUCUCUGUGCAGGUGUCCCAGUGUCCCCAUAGUCUCCAUGACCAGGUGUCCCCACAUCCCUAUGUCCAGAUGUCCAUGUGUCCCCAUGUCCAGAUAUCCCCAUGUUCCCAUGCCCAGGUGUCCCAGUGUCCCCAUGUCCCUGUGUUCAUGUGUCCCCAUGUCCAGAUAUCCCCGUGUCCAUGUGUCCCCAUGUCCAGAUAUCCCCAUGUCCCUGUGCCCAAGUGUCCCUGUGUCUCUGUGUCCCUGUGUCCCCAUGUCCCCAUGUCCCGUGUCCGUGUGUCCCCCUGCCCAGGAGCCCCCCUGCUGCCAGCUCAGGCAUGGAUUCCCAGCCCAUGUCCAUGGAUUUCCUCUCCCACUCCCCGUGUCCCACCCCGUGGGACAGAGCCCUGUGUGUGUCCCCCCCUCUUCCCAAUUCCUUCCCAAACCUGAGACCACGGCCCAGAGAUUUGGGGUUUUUUUUUUUCCCCAUUUUCCUGCUUUUAGUCAAGGCCUGGCACCUUCCAGGCAGCUGAGGGACACGGGACACUUCCCAAAUCUCAGGGGAGCCAGAGUUCCAUGAUUUUUGCUGUUGGUUUUUUGGGGUUCUGCCUUUCCCCAAAGGGUGGCUGCUCCCUUUGGAUCCUGGUUUUCCCCUCCUGGAGGGUUGGCUGGGAUGGGUUUUCCCUGGUUUGGAUCCUGGUUUUCCCCUCUGGGAGGGUUGGCUGGGGUGGGAUUUCCCUGGUUUUCCUGGUUUUCCCCCCCUGGAGGGUUGGCUGGGAUGGAUUUUCCUGGUUUGGAUCCUGGUUUUCCCCUCCUGGAGGGUUGGCUGGGAUGGAUUUUCCUGGUUUGGAUCCUGGUUUUCCCCUCCUGGAGGGUUGGCUGGGAUGGAUUUUCCUGGUUUUCCCCUCCCAGAGGGUUGGCUGGGGUGGAUUUUCCUGGUUUUCCCCUCCUGGAGGGUUGGCUGGGGUGGAUUUUCCUGGUGUUCCCCCCCCCCGGAGGGUUGGCUGGGGUGGGAUUUCCCUGGUUUUCCUGGUUUUCCCCUCCUGGAGGGUGGCUGGGGUGGAUUUCCCUGGUUAACCAGUGGCAGAGGGGACUUUCCCCCGUGUGACACUGUCCCUGUGUGACACUGUCCCCUGCCCUGGGUGUGCAAACACAGCCCUGACCCCCGGGCUGGUGGUUUGGGAUCGUUGCACUCGGGGACUGGCCGGGGCUCAGGAUCCAGGGAUGCAACUCCAGGCAAUUCCAGGCCUUUUCCUGCUCUCCCAGGGCUGGAACGGGGCCUUCUGCAGCAGGGUUGGUUCAGGAGG
This 1419-nucleotide long non-coding RNA is filed under the name Manacus vitellinus (golden-collared manakin). RNAcentral describes it as "lncRNA (ENSMVIG00005018895.1)". Lineage: Eukaryota; Metazoa; Chordata; Aves; Passeriformes; Pipridae. The record is from RNAcentral.